This is a long non-coding RNA of Telopea speciosissima, 159 nucleotides long. RefSeq lists it as uncharacterized. The record is from RefSeq and is a predicted model, not a curated record. Lineage: Eukaryota; Viridiplantae; Streptophyta; Magnoliopsida; Proteales; Proteaceae. The transcript is spliced from 4 exons.
AGGGUUUUUUAAAACUUAGUUCAGGGUUGUUGUUGUUGAUCAAACAGGAUAUUUCUGAGCAUUCUUAACAAGCUUGGAUAGAGCAGCUUGUCCAAGAUCAAGUCCACAGACAUCAGCUAGACGAACAAGAUAGAGUAAAACAUCUGAGAUCUCUUCCUC